AUGAACGCUGGCGGCGUGCCUAAUACAUGCAAGUCGAGCGAACAGACGUGGAGCUUGCUCCUCUGACGUUAGCGGCGGACGGGUGAGUAACACGUGGAUAACCUACCUAUAAGACUGGGAUAACUUCGGGAAACCGGAGCUAAUACCGGAUAAUAUAUUGAACCGCAUGGUUCAAUAGUGAAAGACGGUUUUGCUGUCACUUAUAGAUGGAUCCGCGCCGCAUUAGCUAGUUGGUAAGGUAACGGCUUACCAAGGCAACGAUGCGUAGCCGACCUGAGAGGGUGAUCGGCCACACUGGAACUGAGACACGGUCCAGACUCCUACGGGAGGCAGCAGUAGGGAAUCUUCCGCAAUGGGCGAAAGCCUGACGGAGCAACGCCGCGUGAGUGAUGAAGGUCUUCGGAUCGUAAAACUCUGUUAUUAGGGAAGAACAAAUGUGUAAGUAACUAUGCACGUCUUGACGGUACCUAAUCAGAAAGCCACGGCUAACUACGUG
Molecule: ribosomal RNA, 496 nt
Filed under: uncultured bacterium
Lineage: Bacteria
Description: partial 16S ribosomal RNA
Rfam family: Bacterial small subunit ribosomal RNA
Source: RNAcentral